Molecule: ribosomal RNA, 276 nt
Filed under: uncultured bacterium
Lineage: Bacteria
Description: partial 16S ribosomal RNA
Source: RNAcentral
CUGCUGCCUCCCGUAGGAGUCUGGUCCGUGUCUCAGUACCAGUGUGGGGGACCUUCCUCUCAGAACCCCUACGCAUCGUCGGUUAGGUGGGCCGUUACCCCGCCUACUGCCUAAUGCGCCGCAUGUCCAUCCCUGUCCGGCCGAAGCCUUUCCUGCCUCCGGGAUGCCCCGGUGGCAUGUACGCGGGUUUAGCCCGCCUUUCGGCGGGUUGUCCCCCUGACAGGGGCAGGUUGCAUACGUGUUACUCACCCGUGCGCCGGUCGCCGGCGGAGAAAG